UGGGGAAUAUUGCACAAUGGGGGAAAGACCCUGAUGCAGCGACGCCGCGCGAAGGAAGAAGUAUCUCGGUAUGUAAACUUCUAUCAGCAGGGAAGAUAAUGACGGUACCUGACUAAGAAGCCCCGGCUAACUACGUGCCAGCAGCCGCGGUAAUACGUAGGGGCAAGCGUUAUCCGGAUUUACUGGGUGUAAAGGGAGCGUAGACGGCAUGGCAAGUCUGAUGUGAAAGGCAUGGGCUCAACUCCUGGACUGCAUUGGAAACUGCCGGGCUUGAGUGCCGGAGGGGUAAGCGGAAUUCCUAGUGUAGCGGUGAAAAUGCGUAGAUAUUAGGAGGAACACCAGUGGCGAAGGCGGCUUACUGGACGGUAACUGACGUUGAGGCUCGAAAGCGUGGGGAGCAAACAGGAUUAGAUACCC
RNAcentral lists this ribosomal RNA (417 nucleotides) under uncultured bacterium. Its description in RNAcentral is "bacterial SSU rRNA". It matches the Rfam family "Bacterial small subunit ribosomal RNA", at positions 355 to 787 of the family's 1533-position model. The record is from RNAcentral.